This 991-nucleotide long non-coding RNA is filed under the name Nicotiana benthamiana. Its description in RNAcentral is "long non-coding RNA (NBEN_LNC036421)". Lineage: Eukaryota; Viridiplantae; Streptophyta; Magnoliopsida; Solanales; Solanaceae. The record is from RNAcentral.
AUGCCACAUGUAAGGCGCGAAAACCUACUCAGCACCGAUUAUUAUCCAUUCAUUUUUACCUAAAUACCCAACAAUACUCAUUUUCAAUCAUCUCUCAAAGAACUCUACAUUUACAGUCUUUCUGCUCAAAUGGAGUGAACGAUUGUCAUAUGAUUUUCUGCCCGUUAGGUCAUUAGCAUAGCUUUUCCAGGAGCCCGCCAAACCCUCAAGGCAUAUUUUCAAUGGUCAAAGUGUGACUCAACCAUAGAACCUUUAAGAACCACUGAAUAACUCGUUUCCAUUGUUAUCGAUAGUUUUGCCAACAUAUUUGAUCUGAAAUACUUUGUUGUCUGACGAGGAUAUUGUCAGAGAUAAGUGAUAACUUAUUCCUAUGCUGCUCAUUUUUUAUGUUUCUAUUCCUUUGUAGUGAAAUACUAGGAAUCUUACUGAUUCAAUUUUAAGUUCGAAGAUUUUUGCUCUGGAACUAUGAAUGACGGAACAUACAUAGGAAAAGAAAAAGGAGUUUUCUUUUGUGUCAAGAAAGAAAAAGAAUUGAAAGGAAAGGGGAAGUGUCAGCGAAAAAAUAAAAAGAAAAGUGAAGAGAUAAGAGGACUGUGAUGAGAGGGGUAACGAAGAAGAUGAGAGGGGGGUACUCGGGGGCAUUUUAUUUUUUUUCAUUUUUAGUUUCUGUUCUUUUUAGUAUUUUUUUUUAUUCCAAUAAAUUAAAUUCACGCAUCUAAUUCGUGUGAUUGGCACACACUACAACCAUAUCACAUAUGGUGUUGCCACAUAAGCAUGGUCAACAGUCGAAUGUAUUUGAUAAACUUAUUCUCUUAACUUUGAGUAUCUAAAUGAGAAAGUUGUAAGUUUGUUUACCGUAUGACAAACUAAUACAAGUUUAAGUGGCUAAGAGACCUUUUUGCCAAAAAAUUAAAACAAUUACAAGAAAAUAUUAUGACUUCACACCAUAACAAAAACUGACCUAUGUUUUGAAGUUUUACCUGACCUAGCC